GGCUGGUCUGAAAGUAGUGAGUUAUCUCACUGAUUGUUCACAGUCAGUUACAGAUUGAACUCCAUAUUCUACUACUUUCAACCCUUCUCACUACUGCACUUGACUAGUCUAAA
This 113-nucleotide Y RNA is filed under the name Microcebus murinus (gray mouse lemur). RNAcentral describes it as "Y RNA (ENSMICG00000045276.1)". It matches the Rfam family "Y RNA". Rfam says of the family: Y RNAs are components of the Ro ribonucleoprotein particle (Ro RNP), in association with Ro60 and La proteins. The Y RNAs and Ro60 and La proteins are well conserved, but the function of the Ro RNP is not known. The record is from Rfam by way of RNAcentral. Lineage: Eukaryota; Metazoa; Chordata; Mammalia; Primates; Cheirogaleidae.